This 497-nucleotide ribosomal RNA is filed under the name uncultured bacterium. RNAcentral describes it as "partial 16S ribosomal RNA". It matches the Rfam family "Bacterial small subunit ribosomal RNA", at positions 28 to 507 of the family's 1533-position model. The record is from RNAcentral.
GAUGAACGCUGGCGGCGUGCCUAAUACAUGCAAGUCGAGCGAACAGACGAGGAGCUUGCUCCUCUGACGUUAGCGGCGGACGGGUGAGUAACACGUGGAUAACCUACCUAUAAGACUGGGAUAACUUCGGGAAACCGGAGCUAAUACCGGAUAAUAUAUUGAACCGCAUGGUUCAAUAGUGAAAGACGGUUUUGCUGUCACUUAUAGAUGGCUCCGCGCCGCAUUAGCUAGUUGGUAAGGUAACGGCUUACCAAGGCAACGAUGCGUAGCCGACCUGAGAGGGUGAUCGGCCACACUGGAACUGAGACACGGUCCAGACUCCUACGGGAGGCAGCAGUAGGGAAUCUUCCGCAAUGGGCGAAAGCCUGACGGAGCAACGCCGCGUGAGUGAUGAAGGUCUUCGGAUCGUAAAACUCUGUUAUUAGGAAAGAACAAAUGUGUAAGUAACUAUGCACGUCUUGACGGUACCUAAUCAGAAAGCCACGGCUAACUACGUG